GCCUGGGUGGCUCAGUCGGUUGAGUGUCUGAUUUCGGCUCAGGUCAUGCAUGAUCUCACAGUUCGUGGAUUCGAGCCCCAUGUCGGGCU
RNAcentral lists this transfer RNA (89 nucleotides) under Felis catus (domestic cat). It matches the Rfam family "tRNA". Rfam says of the family: Transfer RNA (tRNA) molecules are approximately 80 nucleotides in length. Their secondary structure includes four short double-helical elements and three loops (D, anti-codon, and T loops). The record is from Rfam by way of RNAcentral. Lineage: Eukaryota; Metazoa; Chordata; Mammalia; Carnivora; Felidae.